Bombyx mori (domestic silkworm) is the source of this 139-nucleotide non-coding RNA. The record is from RefSeq and is marked provisional. NCBI's taxonomy places the organism in Eukaryota, Metazoa, Arthropoda, Insecta, Lepidoptera, Bombycidae.
GGGUAACGCCGCGGACUGUCUCAACACAAUGGCCACGGAGCCGUCGACGUCCCCGAUCCAGCAGUCCUGGUCGGUGGGGACGAAGUACGGCUCCGCGGCGACAGCGACGUCGAUUGACCACUCCGCCAUGGUGUGGACG